GAGUAACGCGUGGGAACGUACCUUUUGGUUCGGAACAACACAGGGAAACUGGUGCUAAUACCGAAUAAGCCCUUACGGGGAAAGAUUUAUCGCCGAAAGAUCGGCCCGCGUCUGAUUAGCUAGUUGGUGAGGUAAUGGCUCACCAAGGCGACGAUCAGUAGCUGGUCUGAGAGGAUGAUCAGCCACAGUUGGGACUGAGACACGGCCCAAACUCCUACGGGAGGCAGCAGUGGGGAAUAUUGGACAA
RNAcentral lists this ribosomal RNA (247 nucleotides) under Bradyrhizobium sp. Is-B019. RNAcentral describes it as "partial 16S ribosomal RNA". It matches the Rfam family "Bacterial small subunit ribosomal RNA", at positions 108 to 371 of the family's 1533-position model. The record is from RNAcentral. Lineage: Bacteria; Pseudomonadati; Pseudomonadota; Alphaproteobacteria; Hyphomicrobiales; Nitrobacteraceae.